Molecule: long non-coding RNA, 1957 nt
Organism: Alexandromys fortis (reed vole)
Lineage: Eukaryota; Metazoa; Chordata; Mammalia; Rodentia; Cricetidae
Exons: 2
Source: RefSeq, a predicted model, not a curated record
UGUGGGUUGCCCAAGCGCUGGGGCGGGCAGCUUCCGCAUCUGCCCCUGAAGAAAGCAGCUUCAUUCAUAGGAAAAGGCUUCUGAAACCUUUUGCGAAGUGAGUUCCAGAGCCUUAUGAGGCAUGGACCACUAACCACCAGACACAGAGAGCUGUGAAGACUCUGAGGUCCUGCGUAGACAAGUAACAGACUCCAGAGUUCAUCCCAUUGUCUCUUGAGUAUACAGCUUUAUGACAUUCUCCUGGGUUUGAAGAAAUUUGACUAUUUUCCACAUCACAAUCACUAAGUUAACACAUUGCUAUGGACAUUCUUAACUUGAUAGGAUUUAGAAUGACUUAGAAGACACGCUUCUGGGCCUGUCGGUGAGGGCAUUUCCAGAGAAGCUUAACUGUGGAGAGAAGUCUGGCCCUUAAAGUGGGAAGUACCAUCCAACGGGCUGGGGUCUGGGGCUGAAGAAAAUGGAGAAAGUGAGUAGGUGUGGCAGCACUCAUCUCUCGGCUUCCUAAUUCCAGACACAAUGGACCAGCUGCCUCUUCUUUCCAUCACCAUGUCUUCCAGCCAUGAUGGACUUGAACCUAAAACCCUUUGCCAAAAUACCUUCUUUCCUUCAGAUGUGUUUUGUCAGGUGUUUGGUCACUGUCACUAACUAGUCAAUAUAAGCUUUCUAGGUCUAUUUCCCUACCACUCAGUAAGUGAAAGUGUGUUCUUCCAAAACCAGGUAUUAGAGUCCUCAUGUGACCUUAUUUGGGAGUAGGGCUUGUUAAGAAUCUAACCGGUGAAGAGGAGGCCAUUGUUGCAAUGGAUUGGGGUCCUUAAUCCACUACGAAUAGACUCUUAGCAAAUAAGGAGAUUUAGAGAAAGACACACAUGGAAGAAGUGAAGACUACAGGAAGACAAUGGAAGAAAUCUACAAAACAACUCCAAAGACUAUCAAUAAACCACAGACAUUAGGGAAGAGGCAUGGGUGGGCUUCCUCUCCCAUCCUUUAGAAGACACCAUCUCUGAUGACACCUUGAGCUCAGGCUUCCAGUCUCUAGGACUAUGCAGUAUUUGAGUAUCACCGUUGUAACCCACCUGGUUUGUGGGGUUCUGUUAUGACAAGCCUAGCAAACAAAUGUGUUUGCUUAUUUGACUUGUUUUGAGGAUUAAACAGGAUAUUUCAAACAAAUCAGAAACACACACAGGACACAAUAAGUUCCUGUUCUAAUCAUCCAACCUAAUCUCCCCCACCAGGCAUCUUAGAACACUUCUCUAAUCAAAGUCCCAGUGGGGAUGCAGAAGGCUCCUUUGCCAUGCUGUGGUGGUUUGAAUAAGAAUGGCCCCCAUAAAAUCAUAUGUUUGAAUGUUUGUUGGAGGAAGUGUGUCAUUGAGGUGGGCUUUGAGGUUUUAAAAACCCAUGCCAGGCCCAGUGUCUCUCUCUUCCUGCUGCCUGUGGAUCCAGAUGUAGAACCUCAGCUACCUCUCCAGCACCACAUCUGUCUGCAUUCUAUCAUGUUUCCCACCAUGGUAAUUAAUAAUGGACUAAACCAUUUGGGUGGAAGUAUUGUUUUAGUUAUUGACAUUUUUAUGUUCAAAGAGUCUGAAAUGUUUGGGUGGGGCUUCACCCCAGCUCCCUGGCAUCCCUUUAUCCAAAGAGUCUGGAAUGUUUGGUGGGAAGCUUCAUCCUAACCCCUGACAUCCAUUUUGGAAUGUUGGGUGGAAAGUUUCAUUUCAAGCCCCCUCCUCUGAGAAUUGCCUCAGUAUAAACUCCACCUCUGAAAAAGCCCACCAAAUGGUGAGCCCUCCCCAGAGAGGGUCAAGACCACUCCCAUAGGUUAUUUAAACCUCCCCCCAGAGAAGGAAUAUGUGGUCUUUCCAAUUCUCCUUUCCCCUCUCCGUGGUUUCAUGGUUUUCCUCCCCGGGGGCCUGAAGGGUCACCCAGGGAGUGCUGGCAUCUAUUAAACCUGGCCUUUUUCUAA